Molecule: long non-coding RNA, 2595 nt
Filed under: Cavia porcellus (domestic guinea pig)
Lineage: Eukaryota; Metazoa; Chordata; Mammalia; Rodentia; Caviidae
Description: lncRNA (ENSCPOG00000036219.1)
Source: RNAcentral
CCAGGCGCUAUUGUGCGUCUAUUUUUAGCCGCGUGUCCUUGGGACCACGGAGAACGCAUCUGUGGUAUUUCACGGCCUCUUUCUGGGCCCUGCUGCCAGGGAGGUGACCUCAUUUUCACUCAGUCGGUAAUUGACUGCAGAGCCGUCUUGGGCUUCUCUAGGACCGGCGUGGAUUCUUCUCUCCUGCGCGCUCCCAACGCCCUGGCUUCUUGGCCCCCUCCAGGGAAUCGGUCCUGGCUGGGCACGCUCCCGUACAUUUCUGCAUGGCCGCAAAGAGCAGCCCCUAGAGCAGCGCACCCCAACCGCAGCGGGGCCUGCCCCAGGUGCUGCUCAGUGACCCCGGUGCUGCUCAGCACAGGGCCAGGGUGCAGCCCUGGUGGGACCCUGUGACUCUGUGAAACGUGGACGUCGGCUCCUGGCUCCUGAGUGUGGUGGACGGGAUGUGGCCAGGCUGCUGCAUUUCCUGCCCGAGCCCGGUUCUGCUCAUGGCCGGGGAGAGGAGCCGUGAUGACCGUCAGACGGCGCGGUCUCCGGGGCAGGAGCCUCGGCGCUGGCCUGGGAUGGAGUCCGGAGGAGGAAGACCCUCGUUUCACAGCGAUCGCUCACGUCCUGGGGAGUUUCCACCGUGUGAGUCCCCUGCUCCUCCCUUCCCUCUCCCCCCUCCACCUCCCGGUCCCCUUAACCUAUGCAUUACACACAGCAGGAAAUGCACACGUGUGACUAUAAGUUAUUUAAUAAAGAAGGGGAGCAGUUACGAUGACCGUGAAACUGUGGCGGGGCGGUGACAGUGCUCCGCAUUCCUGGCGACUGGAUCUGCACUCGCCUUGCAGACAGACGGGGACGGGUCCUGCCUGCCUCUGGUGCCCAGCGUGGGGCUGGGGGCAGUGGCUCUAGGUCUGGGGCAGGUCCCUGGCCCCGUGAAGCCCUGGGGCCCUGGGAAGCCGUGGACCACCCCAGCCGCCCUGCUCACAGCUGGAAGGUCAGUCCCGGUCGCAGCGCGGUGACUGGGGCUCUCCGACUGUGACGUCUGCAGAAGCCCCGGGCCUGCCAUCCGGCUGCACACUUGGUAUUUGGGAUACACCAUGCAGAAGGUUUGGCCAAUCAAGAGGAGCUGAGGAUCACUUGAGAACUAUUUUUAAAGAUUGCUAAUUGCCCCGGAAAAUUCUUGUGUGAAAGACGGCCCGUGCAUGGGAUCCGCAGUGUCUGGCUCCUUCGCACGGCUAACAGGCGAUCCUUGUUUUUCUGCCCUGCUGCGUGAGGAGCGGAGCCCCCGAUGCCCCGGGCCGCAUCUACAUCACGAGGUCCAGAAAUGUGGCAGCUCUGUCACUUCUUGCACUCAUUUCCACGAGUUCGGUCGGUCACCCCGAACCCGCCUCCCUCCUGGAUGCCUGAGGAGAGAUGACGCCCUCGGACGUGUCCUGGAGACGCUGCUCUGUCCUGACCGUUGUCCAGCUGCCCGUGCUGGCGAGCCCGGGGCUUGGCUGAGCCGAGGGGGACCAAAGGAGCACAACCGUGCACAGCACUAAUUCCCUCGCCCAGUGUGACCGCGGGGGUGCUGUCCAGGGUUCAGGCGAGAGUCCUGGACCAGGAGGCCACAUCCAGGUCCUGGUCCCUGCUCUGCCACUGGCGACUGAGGUGUGCGCAAGUUUCUUAGCUCAUCUGGGCCUCGGUUUCCCCAGCCCCCAAAUGAAACCCUUGAACCCGAUGGCCUCCCGGUCUGGGUGGUAGAGCGCCCUGUCCCCACUUGGUUACUGGCCUUCUGAGAGGGCUGUGCAGCCCUGCACACGGCCUGGUGGCUUUCUAGGCUCCCAGGAGCAGGCGUGGCCUUGCUUGGGCUUGCCUUGGUGGACGUGGCCGGGGCCUCCAGAGCCGUCCUGUGGUCCAGACGCUGCUCUGUUCCUCCUGCCUCAGGGCUGAGAUAGGAGCCGUCGCCAGCCCGGGUGCUGGAAGGUGCCGGAGGUCGCCCUAAGGGUGACACCGCUGUCCUCUGGUCCCUGCAGAGCUUCAUCUGCGUUAGAGGACGGGGCAGCCUGGGUCUCUGCGCUGCGACUUUCACCCUCUUCUCAAAGCUGCGCUGAGAGAUUGGGGCGCCUCAGGCAGCGCCAGCUCAUUGCCAGUCGGUUACUUAGAGGGGCUUUGAGGUGGAGGAGGCUGGGGAGACCAGUCCGCUGCCCAGCUCCGUCAGCAUCAACCCCAGUGUCACCCAGUAAGAUGCCCACACUCUUCCAGGGCAAGCGCUGCCCCAGGACCGCUUUCCUCUCUGGGGAUCCCGGGGCCCUGGGGGUGCAGGUGUUCUGCAGCGUCCUGCUUCUGAGGCCGCGUCUGCAUCCCUAGCAUUCACAGAGGCUUCGCUUUGAGACCAAUGAGCCCCCCUUGCCCGCCUGGAUGACGUGGGGGGCUUGUGGUGGGGGAGCAAAGUAGGCGGCUGUCGCAGAGAUCAGCUCUUCUGAUCUGGGGGUCACCGGAGCCCCCCGAUCUGUGCACCGGUUCUCUUCUGGUGACCCAUAAAUCCUCGGAGGACAGAGCUCAGGCCACACCUUAGAUGCCCAAUGUUUUCCAGAAGAAAAGCUGCUUGUGGGGAGCCGCAGGAAGGUG